Platichthys flesus (European flounder) is the source of this 2332-nucleotide long non-coding RNA. RefSeq lists it as uncharacterized. The transcript is spliced from 2 exons. NCBI's taxonomy places the organism in Eukaryota, Metazoa, Chordata, Actinopteri, Pleuronectiformes, Pleuronectidae. The record is from RefSeq and is a predicted model, not a curated record.
GUUUCUUUCCGAUCGUCUCCUCGGAGCUGGACAGAGACAGAGAGCUGAUGACAGGAGAGGUGGACUGCUGAGACUCAGUGGGGACAUCUGAAAAGAGAUGAGACCUAUAGUGAAGUAGGUAUACAUUUCACUGCAGCACUCACCAUCCUCUCCAUAACUUUCUGGUCUGUCCUCGUGAAUGUAUGGAAUCUCGUCCAUGCGGAAGAACACGGAAUCGUUGGGACUCUUCUGCCCGUCAGAUUUACUGCCUGUGAAGAGAGAAUAAGACCAAAUCUGCUGUAAUCCAGCUGCAGAAGCAACAAAACAACAGCCGGUUUGUAGCUCUGCCUGAAGAGGGAGGUAGAGAGCUGACUGUUUAUCAGUCCGUGUGAAAUAUUUCAGUGGUGAACACUGAUGGGUUAAAAAUACAAGGUUUAACAUCCAAUUAACGCUGGACUACAACCAAUGGAGGAGGCUCAGCAGGUCAAUUGGGAAAAGGAAGCCCCUUGAAGCCCCUUGAAGCCCCUUGAAGCCCCCAGAAGCCCCUUGUCAACCCCUUUUCAGAUUUGAUGCACCCUGAUUCAUUGCACUGCACCUCACAUGUCACAGACACACCAGGUCACGUUUUUAUGAAUCUCUGUUUUUGCUUUUUCCCGAUGAUUCUCUGAAAGUAUCCAAUAUUUUUCGGUUGUAGACUUUUCCAAUGUUUUAAUGGACAACGGGGGAAGAACACAACCUUUCUGAUGAUCCUCUUUCUAACUCUGACUUGACUCUGUAUGUAGAUGGGUCCUCUUCACGUGACCCUGUCUCUGGUACUAACUGUGUUGGUUUUACUGUUUGUUCAGAUAACGGUGGUCUCCUCUCGAGUUCUCUUCGUCAUCACCUCACAGUCAGCAUGGAGGUUUGCAAAUUGGCUACUGGUAAAACAUUCAGUCUACACUAACUCCAGAUAUGCAUUCGCAAAUUUCAACGACAAUAACCUGACACGUUUCCAUCAACAACCAACAGAGACAUCUGUCCAAUGAUUGUCCUUAAUGUCCCUAACACAAACGUAAACAAAGUGGGUUGCAUGUUACAAACAGUGUAAGACAGAUUGUGUGUAGGAAAUCCAUUAAGCCUCGAAACCAGUACUGAUCGGUUGAUGCCACAUUUGCACCAGUAUUGUGUGAGUGAGCCAUCGACUGUGUUCAAGUUAUAGAUUCUUCCUUAAAUUUAAGCAGAAAUCUUAAAUAUAGUUUAAAAACUAUGAAACUGCUAUUUGUCUUCGGCUAUUUUUAACUUCUGUGCUAUUUGUUAUCCUAUUUAAUUAUGUAUACAAGAGCUAAUCUUUGAACAGUGACCUGAGGGACAUCAACGUGUGUGAACUUUGAUUAAUUAUUCAACAUCUUCUUUUAUUUACUCAUGAUUUUAAUCUUCUGUUUUGAAAAGGUUGGUAUAAGUCCUUGGUUCGUUGGCCCUGAGAGCUCAAAGCACUGCAACUCAAGAAAACACAAACAAAACAAAACACUUCACUUCUAAUAUGAGUAUUUGGCAGUGUUGUUAGUAUUUGGUAGUAAUGUAAGUAUUUGACUGUUUUGCGAGCAUUCACAAGGGUUGUGUUUGUUUUGCUGGUAUUUGCUUGUGUUGUGAAUGUUUGGUUGUAUAUUGAGUAUUUGGCUGUGUUGACAGUUUUGUGUAUAUUUUGGUUGGUGUGUUGCGGUAUUUGCAUUUUCCUUAUGUCUCUAAUUUUUUGACAAAUUGAAGAUGUUUUCUCCAUUCGCCCUAAUUUGAGCUCUCAGGGCCACCUAACUCUGGUGUACAGUUUUUUUCUUAAACUUUUACGUUAUUUGGCGAUCUUACAAUAAGUGCAUGGACACACUACACCAGCUAUUGGACACACUACGGCAUGCAGAUGGGGAAGACUGAGGAUCGAGCCGCCGAACUUCUAGUUGGAGGACGACCACUCUACCCCUCAGCCAGUCCGCUGCCCAACUUGUCAUCAGAUCAUAAUUGUUCAUGUUGGUGCAGAGUAUCAUAUCUUUAGAUCAAUCAUGUAUUGGUCCUUUCAGACAGGUUCUUGGCCAAUGAAUCUCUCCAAUCAGUGUGUUUGAUUCUUUGAGCUACCUUUCUUCCUCUUCAAAACAAAACCUCUACCAGCUUGAAUCCUAAAAUUCUAAUUGAGCCUCAUGGAGCUGGAUUAUCAUCUACAUUUCGGGGAGCUUGCAGGUUAAGUGCUGUACUGUUCCAUAACCAAAGGGCUUAUGGAAAUAUGGAAAGAAUAUUUUGAAGGAUGAUGCCUCCGGCUGUUGAUGAGCAUUAUUUUGUGUCAGUUUCUAUCAGUAAUUAUUAAAUCCUACUAAGAGAAAACAGUUGA